This 253-nucleotide ribosomal RNA is filed under the name uncultured bacterium. RNAcentral describes it as "partial 16S ribosomal RNA". It matches the Rfam family "Bacterial small subunit ribosomal RNA", at positions 524 to 776 of the family's 1533-position model. The record is from RNAcentral.
UACGUAGGGGGCAAGCGUUGUCCGGAAUCAUUGGGCGUAAAGCGCGCGUAGGCGGCCAGACAAGUCCGGUGUGAAAGUCACAGGCUCAACCUGUGAAUGCCGCUGGAAACUGUCUGGCUAGAGUCCGGAAGGGGCGAGUGGAAUUCCUGGUGUAGCGGUGAAAUGCGCAGAUAUCAGGAGGAACACCUAUGGCGAAGGCAGCUCGCUGGGACGGUACUGACACUGAGACGCGAAAGCGUGGGGAGCAAACAGG